AGUGAACGCUGGCGGUAGGCCUAACACAUGCAAGUCGAACGGCAGCACAGUAAGAGCUUGCUCUUACGGGUGGCGAGUGGCGGACGGGUGAGGAAUACAUCGGAAUCUACUUUUUCGUGGGGGAUAACGUAGGGAAACUUACGCUAAUACCGCAUACGACCUACGGGUGAAAGCAGGGGAUCUUCGGACCUUGCGCGAUUGAAUGAGCCGAUGUCGGAUUAGCUAGUUGGCGGGGUAAAGGCCCACCAAGGCGACGAUCCGUAGCUGGUCUGAGAGGAUGAUCAGCCACACUGGAACUGAGACACGGUCCAGACUCCUACGGGAGGCAGCAGUGGGGAAUAUUGGACAAGGGGCGAAAGCCUGAUCCAGCCAUACCGCGUGGGUGAAGAAGGCCUUCGGGUUGUAAAGCCCUUUUGUUGGGAAAGAAAAGCAGCAGGUUAAUACCCCGCUGUUCUGACGGUACCCAAAGAAUAAGCACCGGCUAACUUCGU
This 491-nucleotide ribosomal RNA is filed under the name uncultured bacterium. RNAcentral describes it as "partial 16S ribosomal RNA". It matches the Rfam family "Bacterial small subunit ribosomal RNA", at positions 29 to 506 of the family's 1533-position model. The record is from RNAcentral.